AAUUUUGGACAAUGGGCGCAAUCCUGAUCCAGCCAUGCCGCGUGAGUGAAGAAGGCCGUCGGGUAGUAAAGCUCUUUCGGACGGAAAGAAAUCGCGCAAGCUAAUACCCUGCGCGGAUGACUGUACUGUCAUAAGAAGCACCGGCUAACUACGUUGCAGCCGCCGCGGUAAUUCGUAGGGUGCGAGGGUUAAGCGGAAUUACUGGGCGUAAAGCGUGCGCAGGCGGUUGAUUAAGACAGGCGUGAAAUCCCCGGGCUUAACCUGGGAACUGCGCUUGUGACUGGUCAGCUAGAGUACGGCAGAGGGGUGUGGAAUUCCACGUGUAGCAGUGAAAUGCGUAGAGAUGUGGAGGAACACCGAUGGCGAAGGCAGCCCCCUGGGCCGAUACUGACGCUCAUGCACGAAAGCGUGGGUAGCAAACAGG
RNAcentral lists this ribosomal RNA (424 nucleotides) under uncultured bacterium. RNAcentral describes it as "partial 16S ribosomal RNA". It matches the Rfam family "Bacterial small subunit ribosomal RNA", at positions 360 to 776 of the family's 1533-position model. The record is from RNAcentral.